Long non-coding RNA from Papio anubis (olive baboon), 2039 nucleotides. Lineage: Eukaryota; Metazoa; Chordata; Mammalia; Primates; Cercopithecidae. The record is from Ensembl.
AUGAAAAAGUCCACCCCAAAAAAAGUGUUUUUAGUACUUGUCCAAAUAUUUGUUUAUUUUUUUUUUUUUUUUUUUUUUGCUCUAGUGGGUGGCAUCUGGGCUUUGCCAUUCUCUGUUUUCAGGGUCCACCACCUGGCUGACUUGUUCUUCCUAUCGACAUUGGCUCCUGGGCUGAAACCAGUCUCUGGCUCACAUUCACAUACCUCUUGACAUGUAACUUAUAAAAUUUCUUUAAGCAUGUGAUAUAAACUUCUCUCAAGCUCCUUAGGGAACAAAGCAACUUUGGAGAUUCUGCAAAGCUUGCCUGAGGCUAUUUACGUGAACUCUCAUUCACACUGUUAUUCUACUCUGUUAUCACAGUGACCCAGGAUUCAAGUCUCCCAGCCAUACUUCAACAAUUUCAAGGUUCAGCCUAAAAGGAGGGGCAACAACUGGUCACUCUUCAGAGGCUACAGGUGCCCCAGUUAUUGUCCCAUUCCCUCUGAAUCUUCUCUUCCCAUCUAGCGUUUGAAUCCUUAGUAACUUUUAGGUAGAAAAAUAACUAAAAAUGCAUCACGUGUUUAUCUCAACCCAGUGGUUUCUGAAAUAAACUCUAUGAUCUUAGUCAUCCAGCAUUUUGCACUUAGUAUGCAAUGUUGUAUUUUGAGUAUGACAAAUAAACACCUUCUUUUUCAAAAAGCCCAGCUGUGGCAAAUUUCGAGUGAUGACUUUCAAGAAUAUUGGCUCAGUCAAUGAUUUACAAAAGUCUAUUUAGCAGCUUUACUAUUUAUCAUAAAGUGGUAGUUUUGUAGUAUAUUUUAAAAUCUGACGUGCUGGCCUUUUCACACCAAAAACGUAUUUCUACAUGGUAAAGCUUCAAAUGUCAUUUAAACUGAUGUGAUUAAAAACUGAACAAAACAAAAACUACAGCUCUACUGACUUCUCUGUUUCAAUUGUCACUCCAGAAACUUCCUCCAAGUUUUAUACGCUUCCCUAAAUUUACUAACUUAAAUUGUUUGAUUUCUACUAACUUGAUACCUUUUCUAAAGCAAUGUAGUCCACUUAAUACCUCCUCUUCUAAUAUAAUUUUCUCGGAUUAAGAGAUUAAUACAACUAAAUAGCAAAGGAAGGGCAAUGGAUUUUACAAAGCACACAGAGGGAAAUAUCUUGGUAUACUUAAUAUUUCCAAAAUUAAUCAUUUUACAUAUAUUACAUUGCUGUGUUAUUAACACACACACACACACACACAAUUAUAGCCAUUAUAUCUUUUUGUCACAGCAUUCCUUUUGACAAGAUAAGAUUAAUCUCAACCCAUUUAGUUUUUAAUUUUGAGAAUGUAUAUUUGCUGUACUAUUUCUGUUACAGCUUUCUAUUUGCCUAACAUAUCUUUGUCUUCUUUGUUUUUUAAUUUGUCUCAAUUUGUUUUAGAUGUUUGUCUCACACAUCUUUAAGUGAUUCAUUUACAGUGUCACGUUCUUUAUAUAUUUUUUUAUUUUAGUUUCAUGGAUACAUGUGCAGGUUUGUUAUAUAAAUUGUGUGUCACGGGCGUUUGGUGUAAACCUUAUUUCAUAAUCCAGGUAAUAAGCAUAGUACCUGAUGGGUAGUUUCUACCCAUCCUUCUACCCACCCUCCUCCCACCCUUCACCCUCAAAUAAGCCCCAGUGUCUAUUGCUUCUUUCUUUGUGUCUAUGUGUACUCAAUAUUUAGCUCCCACUUACAAAUGAGAACAUACACUAUUUGGUUUUCUGUUUCUGCGUUAGUUCACUUAGGAUAAUGGCCUCCAGCUUCAUUCAUGUUGCUGCAAAGGACAUGAUCUUGUUCCUUUUUAUGACUGUGUAUUAUUCUGUGGUAUAUAUGUACCAUGUUUUCUUUAUCCAGUCUACUGUUGAUGAGCAUUUAGGUUGAUUCGAUGUCUUUGCUAUUGUGAAUAGUGCUGCAAUAAACACAUGUCUGCAUGUGUCUUUAUGAUGAAACAUUUACAUUCCUUUGACUGUAUACCCAAUAGUUAAUCCCAUUUGCCAAUUUUCUUGUUUAGAAAAUAUUUUCUUGAUGUUUUGUUU